Non-coding RNA from Gossypium raimondii (Peruvian cotton), 78 nucleotides. The record is from Rfam. Lineage: Eukaryota; Viridiplantae; Streptophyta; Magnoliopsida; Malvales; Malvaceae.
UGUUAAAAAUUUCAUCCAUUUUCACUGUUAAAAACUGGCUCUAAUUUUUAAUAGUGGAAAUGGAUGAAAUUUUUAACA